AACCAUAGAAACCUGCGGAGUACCUGCGGAGGGAUCAUUACAGAGUUCAUGCCCUCACGGGUAGAUCUCCCACCCUUGAAUACUAUACCUUUGUUGCUUUGGCGGGCCGCUUUGGCUACUGGCUCUGGCUAGUAAGUGCCCGCCAAAGAACCCCAAAACUCUGAAUAUUAGUGUCGUCUGAGUACUAUAUAAUAGUUAAAACUUUUAGCAAUGGAUCU
RNAcentral lists this unclassified non-coding RNA (218 nucleotides) under soil metagenome. RNAcentral describes it as "partial contains 5.8S ribosomal RNA, internal transcribed spacer 2, and large subunit ribosomal RNA". The record is from RNAcentral.